AAUGUGUUCAGAGUGCUGAUGCUUCCUCCCUCUCUUUGUGUGGCUGCAUGUUUGAGGGGCUAAACAGCGCCACCUCCAGGUCGGAAAAGUAGUGAUUACAAGCAGAUUAAACACAUACAAGACACUUUAUAGCAAUCUCAAGAAUCAAAAGACACAAUUUGAAGCCAUCUGCGCCUUGACACACAUCAAUCUGUCUUGGUGGCAUCGGCAAUACAGCGGCGUUCUAAAUACGAAGACAAAUAUGGGGCAAAACACACCUACACAUGCUUUAACACCAACAGAUGAGUCAUAGUGAUGAUGAAAAUUUGAUAGCCUGCCUGACGCUCUCGAUCCACGCUAUCCGUCUUUCAAGAUAAGAUCUCCCAGCCUCUGCUGAUAAAUAGUG
Long non-coding RNA from Xiphophorus hellerii (green swordtail), 385 nucleotides. RefSeq lists it as uncharacterized. The transcript is spliced from 4 exons. Lineage: Eukaryota; Metazoa; Chordata; Actinopteri; Cyprinodontiformes; Poeciliidae. The record is from RefSeq and is a predicted model, not a curated record.